CCAAUUUACAUUCUUGCCAAAAUUGAGCUUUUGAUCACAUUCCUCUCAACAAUUAAUACUAUCAAAUGGCUUUGAAUAUUCCAGAAUUCAGGGAAUGAUGUUCACGUGAAGGCUUCUUAUGGAAUCUGCUAGAGGAAAAACUGUCACCAGUCAAAGAAUGACUGAGGAAACCUCAAGAAGACUUCUCACAUAAAUCUGCCUAUAGAUUUAAGGCCAAGAAAAGGUAAAAACAAGGAUCACAGAAUAGAAUAGAAGUGGCAUAUGAUCCGACAACUUAAAAAAGAUAAAACUAAAAAAAUGGAUAGAGGGAGUGAAAGUGGAGAAAAGAAUAAUCUCACUGACGCCAUCUAUAAUAUAAAAACUGAGACAUUUAAAGUUGAAAAAUCAUGUUUUAGAAGUAUAAUAUACUUAACAAUACAAAAGUCAACACUAAAAAAGGCGAUAUUACUGACUAAAAUUGCAUGAUGGAGGGCAAGGAAUGAAGGGGAAGCAGAGAAUACAAGCUAAUUUUACGCUGCUCAUAUUAGAAAAAUUGUAGAUAUGAUUCUAAAGAAAAAAGAGGAAAAGGUAUUAAAUAAAGAUAUAAUUAUAUAGCCACUAAACAAAAGAAAGAGACCACAUAGAAGAGACUUUAAAAAUGUUACAUAUAUAACAUUAUAGAACUAAAAUUAAUCAUACCAAUAAAUGUAGAUUUAAUUUACCUAGCAAAGGAAAAAGAUUGAUUUUCUGAUUGAUUGAGUCACAAAUCUAUGUCACAAACCCAACUAUUAGGCUCUCUAUAAGAGUAACCCUGAAAAUAAAAUUAUUCAGAAAAGUUAAGAUAAAAAAAGAUGAACAAAGAUAUAGCAGGAAAAUGCAAACAAGAAGAAAGUAGUGGUUGCAAUACAACAUUAGAGAAGGUAGAAUUCAGGCCAAAAAGAAAUAAUAAAGUUAGUUUAUAAUGCAUACAUACCAAAAUGAGAAUGUAACAGUUAUGAAUAACUCUGUACUAACAAUGUAGCAGCAAUGUUGAUAAAAACAAAUUGUGUGAGGCAAAGGAGAACCAGGUGGAAACAGCAGUGGGAAACUUUGUCUCCUUUCUCUCAGUGAAGUCAGAUCAAAUGGACAAAAAUAAGGUAUGCUUCAGAGCACUGCAAAAGCAAGCAUUACUAGAGGGAGUAAAAUUCCAGAAACUAAGAGGAGAGAGAGACUUUUACAAGUGAACUGAGAAUCUGCAGUUUCCUUUCCCAGAGGUAUUUGCCAAUUCCAGGCAUGGGCUAGAGGCUGAAGAUCUGGGACUGGUCCAGACAGAGGGUUUC
This 1298-nucleotide long non-coding RNA is filed under the name Equus caballus (horse). Its description in RNAcentral is "lncRNA (ENSECAG00000044662.1)". Lineage: Eukaryota; Metazoa; Chordata; Mammalia; Perissodactyla; Equidae. The record is from RNAcentral.